This is a long non-coding RNA of Austrofundulus limnaeus, 712 nucleotides long. RefSeq lists it as uncharacterized. Lineage: Eukaryota; Metazoa; Chordata; Actinopteri; Cyprinodontiformes; Rivulidae. The record is from RefSeq and is a predicted model, not a curated record. The transcript has 3 exons.
GUGGACACCAGAAGCGGAGGCUCCUUUUGAUUCGGGUGUGGGUGCAGUGCUCUCCCAAAGGUCAUCUGAGGACAAGAAGAUCCGUCCUUGUGCCUUUUUCACUCGACGUCUGCCUCCAUCCGAGAGAAAUUAUGAUGUGGGGACCGAGAACUGUUGGCCAUAAAACUGACCCUGGAGGAGUGGAGACACUGGUUGAAGAUGUAAGGAGUUUGUUUCUGCCUGUCCAACCUGUGCCCAAAAUAAGUGGUGAACCCCCCCACCAAUCUGGGUUACUCCAACCUCUACCUACUCCAGGCCAAUCUUGGUCACACAUUGCUUUGGAUUUUGUUUCCGGACUUCCUCCAUCUCAUGGUAACACUGCAAUUUUGACCGUUGUAGAUCGUUUUUUCCAAAGCCGUGCAUUUCAUUUCCCUUCCUAGGUUACCUACUGCUAUGGAGACCACACGACUAAACAUGUGGUCCAUGUCCAUGGGAUUCCUCUGGACAUUGUGUCCAAUCGUGGGCCUCAGUUCAUCUUGCAGGUAUGGAGGUCUUUUUGUAACGGCCUGGGAGCUAAAGUCAGCCUCACAUCCAGAUAUCAUCCACAAUCAAAUGGACAAACAGAGAGAAGCAACCAGGAACUUGAGGCUGACCUAUGGUGUGUCGUGAGUAAUAACCCCUCAAUGCGGAGUCAGCAUCUUACCUGGGUAGAAUAUGCUCACAACACACACAC